Molecule: long non-coding RNA, 1182 nt
Filed under: Salmo salar (Atlantic salmon)
Lineage: Eukaryota; Metazoa; Chordata; Actinopteri; Salmoniformes; Salmonidae
Description: lncRNA (ENSSSAG00000111118.1)
Source: RNAcentral
UAUAGAAAUGGAUGGGUUUGUAAAUGAUAUCCUACAUCACCAGCUAUAGAAAUGGAUGGGUUUGUAAAUGAUAUCCUACGUCACCAGCUGUAGAAAUGGAUGGGUUUGUAAAUUAUAUCCUACAUCACCAGCUAUAGAAAUGGAUGGGUUUGUAAAUUAUAUCCUACGUCACCAGCUAUAGAAAUGGAUGGGUUUGUAAAUGAUAUCCUACGUCACCAGCUAUAGAAAUGGAUGGGUUUGUAAAUUAUAUCCUACGUCACCAGCUAUAGAAAUGGAUGGGUUUGUAAAUGAUAUCCUACGUCACCAGCUAUAGAAAUGGAUGGGUUUGUAAAUUAUAUCCUACGUCACCAGCUGUAGAAAUGAUGUAACACUACGGGGGGAAAUGACUGCUGGUUUGGGAUGUAACACUACGGGGGAAAUGACUGCUGGUUUGGGAUGUAACACUACUGGGAAAAUAACUGCUGGUUUGGGAUGUAACACUACGGGGGGAAAUGACUGCUGGUUUGGGAUGUAACACUACGGGGGGAAAUGACUGCUGGUUUGGGAUGUAACACUACGGGGGAAAUGACUGCUGGUUUGGGAUGUAACACUACGGGGGUAAUGACUGCUGGUUUGGGAUGUAACACUACGGGGGUAAUGACUGCUGGUUUGGGAUGUAACACUACGGGGGUAAUGACUGCUGGUUUGGGAUGUAACACUACGGGGGAAAUGACUGCUGGUUUGGGAUGUAACACUACGGGGUAAAUGACUGCUGGUUUGGGAUGUAACACUACGGGGGUAAUGACUGCUGGUUUGGGAUGUAACACUACGGGGGAAAUGACUGCUGGUUUGGGAUGUAACACUACGGGGGUAAUGACUGCUGGUUUGGGAUGUAACACUACGGGGUAAAUGACUGCUGGUUUGGGAUGUAACACUACGGGGGUAAUGACUGCUGGUUUGGGAUGUAACACUACGGGGGUAAUGACUGCUGGUUUGGGAUGUAACACUACGGGGUAAAUGACUGCUGGUUUGGGUCUUAUUGGGGAGUUUGGUAAUAACACAACGGUCGGGAUUAUGGCACAUUUUACACAGAUAACUAUUGGCAGUUUACUGUGACAAGUCGUACUGAACCAUAUUCCUAGACUGUGACAAGUCGUACUGAACCAUAUUCCUAGACUGUGACAAGUCGUACUGAACCAUAUU